GCCAACCUAGCUCAGGGGUAGAGCAGCGGUUUCGUAAACCGCAGGUCGUGGGUUCAAAUCCCAUGGUUGGCU
This 72-nucleotide transfer RNA is filed under the name Deltaproteobacteria bacterium. RNAcentral's name for it is "tRNA-Thr". It matches the Rfam family "tRNA". From Rfam's summary of the family: Transfer RNA (tRNA) molecules are approximately 80 nucleotides in length. Their secondary structure includes four short double-helical elements and three loops (D, anti-codon, and T loops). Lineage: Bacteria; Pseudomonadati; Myxococcota; Myxococcia. RNAcentral also lists the same sequence under 1 other name. The record is from RNAcentral.